GGGUGGGAGAGCAACCUGGAUGGGGCUUCUAUCACCGCAUGGGCCACUAGGGUUGGUUCAUUUGAUCUGGCUGGGUUAUGGGUCCCCUUCUUUGCUUUAUGUUCCAUGAAGUUGCACACUUGCUCAAGGAGAAAUAGCAGAGAGAGAAAGGUCUUCAUAAGGGCAAGGAAAUACAAAUCUUACAUGCCUUCCCAGAGUCCCGAGACAAGCUCAGAUCCAUCUGUGGUUUAGACGAGUUAGCGCAAACAACUUACAAACUCUCCUGGAGAUCUCAUGGA
RNAcentral lists this small RNA (278 nucleotides) under Cebus imitator (Panamanian white-faced capuchin). Its description in RNAcentral is "7SK RNA (ENSCCAG00000005248.1)". It matches the Rfam family "7SK RNA". Rfam says of the family: 7SK was discovered as an abundant small nuclear RNA in the mid-70s but a possible function has only recently been suggested. Two independent studies have found that 7SK RNA binds the CDK9/cyclin T complex (known as elongation factor P-TEFb). Lineage: Eukaryota; Metazoa; Chordata; Mammalia; Primates; Cebidae. The record is from Rfam by way of RNAcentral.